RNAcentral lists this unclassified non-coding RNA (2667 nucleotides) under Hevea brasiliensis (rubber tree). The record is from RNAcentral. Lineage: Eukaryota; Viridiplantae; Streptophyta; Magnoliopsida; Malpighiales; Euphorbiaceae.
AUUUGAAACUAAUUUAGCAUUAAUAUUUAAAAAUUGUAAAUCUUUCAAUACCACGUUGAUCCACGUUAUGUAUUACCAAACAUACAUCUUAUCAUCCCCAUCUAUACCACAUCCUUUGGAUGCUAAUAUUUGCUCUUAGACAAUGUAACUUAAUUACAAUUCUAUAGAAUUUAACUUUUAUUUUGUCAGGAAUUCUAUAGUUGCAUACCCUAAUAGACCAUUAUUCAUUGAAGGUACUUUUCUUUGUCACAUACCCUAAUAGAUAUAUAUUACAGCCAUCCACUGGAGGUACAACAAGGUGUCUGGUUCAUAGUGGGUAUCCUAUGUCAUAGGAAAGAUCUGGUGAUCCAAUGUGGGCAUCCUCUGUACGGCGGAAGAACCUUUAGAAAUUUCCGGUGCACCAAGAAAAGAGAAAUUGAGCAUAGUCUAUUUGCAUCUCUUAGACCUCUAACUGCCAUCUCAUAUUUAGGUCCCUCCAUUAAAUUUAUGUUGCGACAUGAGACUUUUUGUUAACCAAAUUGCUGUUUCUCUAGAUGAGACCACUUCUUCCCCAAAUGGCUUUAACACACCAGCAAGCUCAUCAAUUUUGUCCUGUUUAAGUAGCCGUGCACAUAGCUCAAGCAAAGACUCUAGAGCAUCUGCUCUUUGCUGACCAGGAUUCUCCCACUCGCUUUUGGUUUCAUCACCAUGCAUUGCAGCUAGUGCAUUAAGCAAUGAAAUUUCACUUGGUGUUGGUACCCUCAUCCCAUAAGCGUCAUCUUUCUCCAUAUGCAUAGAGAAUUUAUUCUUAUCUGGUUUUGCUCCGAUUUCAUCUUUGCACGGAAGGAUAUCAUUACUUUCGGAUGAUAAGUAUUCCAUAUGAGUUCCUUCUGUGUACACAUCAGGGCUUUCUGGUUUCUGUAAACGGCGUUCCGACUCUGCAUAAGGUUUAUUUAUAGGUGACUCUGAGCUUUUAUCAUCAAAGGAAUCAACUUUGUCAGUGCAAUUUAGACCAGGAAUUGCCAAUUCCCUGCUAUCUGCUGCUGUCACACCCUCUCUGUCUGUUUCAGCUUCUUCAACAACUUUUUGGUUGCAAACAGUUAGUUGAUCUUUUGCAGUGACAAGUUUGACAUUAACCUCUUGCAAUUGUUGAAAAUGCUCAGAUGUGGUCUCUUCUUCACGUUCAGAAUUCCGUGAGUUCUUCAACAUAAACUCAAUUUGAGUGCUAUCUUUUUGAAGUAGACAGCUAGAGUCAACUUGCUUAUCUCCAUUGCAAACACUAGUUUCAGAACCAGAGGAGCUGUCCUUUGGACCAGUCAUAGAAUCUGAUAUUUCCACAGUACAGCUAGUAGGAUCAACCCUCUUGGUCUCAAGGUUGUCUUCUGCACUGGAUGUUGAUGUUGGGAUGUCAAUGUGGGGUUGAUUGCUUUGUUGCACUACACCAUUUCUCUCAAAUGGAUGAUCAUUUUCUAACUGGUUAAGUGGCCUAACUUCCCUAUCCUUGUUGGCUUUGUGACCAUUAGAUUUGCUGGACAAUGAUUUUCUCCUUGUUUUCUCCUUUGAAUUGUUUAUGGGCUUUAUUGGAAGUAAUGCAGAAGAAGCAUUGCGGCAACGAAGUAAAUAUGAUUGCAAAUGAGGAUGUCUUAACAGUUCUGCAGCUGUUGGUCUGUGUUCAGGGUUCUUCCUCAGCAUGCUCUUAAUAAUUUGUUUCAGCGAGGAGGAAUACACAAUUGGGAGAGGAGAAAUGGAGGAUCUAUUUAUUUUGUUGAUUAGUGAAGCCAUGUCCUGUUCAAUUCACAGCUUUAAUUAUGGUGCUUGAAAUUCAUACUGAAGCAAAGUACAUAUUCUUUACCAGCAGCUAUAAGAUAUUGAUGCUAUAAUAUACAAGUCAGGCUUGUACAUACAGGAGCCCUAAAUGCUGGUUGGUGUGCAGCCAUUUCAAACAUACAGCAGCCUGAAACAGCAGGAAAAUGUCACUCCUAAUGAAGGAAAUUUGAUAACUUUACAACCAUGCUUCAGAUUUCUUACCAAGUGACCAUAUGUCAGAUUUGUAGCCAUAAGGUAUAUCUGCUAGGAGCUCAGGACACAUAUAAUUAGGAGUGCCAACAACCUAGGUGACACACGAGGCAUAAAUAACAAAUAUGUGAAUAACUAAACAACCUAUUGGGGGAUAAGUAGUUCAAUCGUCAGCUCUAAAGUCUUGAAUCCAACAUAGUAUGACAAAAUAGUUUUAUUACAGAAUGAAAUAUAUUAGAAAUUUAGGCAGGAAGUUAUAACAAUGAACUGUCAAGGCAGUUUAAAGCCAGGGAUAUAACUUAAAUUGACAUUUUUGAAUCAAAAUAAGAUGUAGUGAGCAGAAAAUAUAUUCAAGUCCAUACCGAAGAAGCAAGGUCUUCUGUGUUAAGCAGCUUUGCAAGUCCAAAGUCACCUGUUCAGUCCAUACAAGAUAUAAAAUUCUUAGAAGACAUCAAGACAAGGAAGCCAAACCUGAUGAAAAUCCUUCUAGUUAGCAGUUCUUUUGCCUUCAUACCGAGGCGGACAUCAUUGUCCUUUGUAAGGAAUAUGUUGGAGCACUUAAGAUCUCUGUGAAGCACACGGUUAGAGUGUAGGUGGUCCACAGCUAGCAAUAACUGAGUCAACCAUUUGCAGAGUUUCUCUUCUGGGAAAAAAAUGCCUCUGGCCUUCUUU